ACUCAAGUUAAAAGUAAGUUUACUCUCUGUACUUGAAUAGAAUAAAAACUUGGAGGCUUACAAACUUUGUUCUUUUAAAAAUGUAAUGACUAUAGUCUUAUGUAUGAUAAUUUGAGGGGAGUUUGGGGCAUUACACCUGUCAAACUGUAAUGCAAGUGUCCUAAGGUGAGCUCAGGGAGGGCAGGAACCUCCAGUGGAGCAGAAGGGCAAAAGCUCGCUUGAUCUUGAUUUUCAGUACAAACACAAACCGUGAAAGCGGGGCCUCACGAUCCUUCUGAUCUUUUGGGUUAGACAUGUUCUCCUUAGUUUAGAG
Molecule: non-coding RNA, 313 nt
Filed under: Felis catus (domestic cat)
Lineage: Eukaryota; Metazoa; Chordata; Mammalia; Carnivora; Felidae
Description: Eukaryotic large subunit ribosomal RNA
Rfam family: Eukaryotic large subunit ribosomal RNA
Source: Rfam by way of RNAcentral